AUUGGCAAUUAGGCAACGGUAAUGCCAAGUUUUUCAACUAUAAAUACAGCUUCAAUUCAGCCUUUUGAGUACAACAACACACAACAACUGAUCAUAUAAUUGCUAUAAGCUUGUAUACUUUAUUGUUUAUCAUUUUAUAUUCAUUUCAUAAGCUUUUGAGAGCCAAAUUCUUGUCAAAAAUUGUUGCGAUCUUGAGCGUAUUCUUUUACUCAUAUCUACUCAUUAAGGAGUGUCUUG
RNAcentral lists this long non-coding RNA (237 nucleotides) under Nicotiana benthamiana. Its description in RNAcentral is "long non-coding RNA (NBEN_LNC031583)". Lineage: Eukaryota; Viridiplantae; Streptophyta; Magnoliopsida; Solanales; Solanaceae. The record is from RNAcentral.